UAUGCCUUAGUAACGGCGAGUGAAGCGGCACAGCUCAAAUUUGAAAUCUGGCCCUGGGGUCCGAGUUGUAAUUUGUAGAGAGUGUUUCGGGGGAGGCCACGGUCUAAGUCCAUUGGAACAUGGCGUCAUAGAGGGUGAGAAUCCCGUAUGUGACCGUGGAUCGAACCCAUGUGAAGCCUCUUCGACGAGUCGAGUUGUUUGGGAAUGCAGCUCAAAAUGGGUGGUAAAUUUCAUCUAAAGCUAAAUACUGGCUGGAGACCGAUCGCGCACAAGUAGAGUGAUCGAAAGAUGAAAAGCACUUUGGAAAGAGAGUUAAACAGUACGUGAAAUUGUUGAAAGGGAAGCGCUUGCAACCAGACCUGCCCGUAGGCGAUCAGCCGCUGUUCUCAGCGGUGCACUCGUUCUGCGAUCAGGCCAGCAUCGGUUUGGGCGGUCGGAUAAAGGCCUUGGGAAUGUAGCUUCCCUUCGGGGGAGUCUUAUAGCCCUCGGUGCAAUGCGGCCAGCCAGAACCGAGGACCGCGCUUCGGCUAGGAUGCUGGCGUAAUGGUUGCAAGCGACCCGUCUUGAAACACGGACCAAGGAGUCUAACAUCUAUGCGAGUGUUUGGGUGUUAAACCCAUGCGCGGAAUGAAAGUGAACGGAGGUGAGAACCCUUGAGGGCGCAUCAUCGACCGAUCCAAAUUUCUUCGGAUGGGAUU
Molecule: ribosomal RNA, 698 nt
Filed under: Crespoa schelpei
Lineage: Eukaryota; Fungi; Ascomycota; Lecanoromycetes; Lecanorales; Parmeliaceae
Description: LSU rRNA
Rfam family: Eukaryotic large subunit ribosomal RNA
Source: RNAcentral